This is a long non-coding RNA of Brachypodium distachyon (stiff brome), 3282 nucleotides long. RefSeq lists it as uncharacterized. The record is from RefSeq and is a predicted model, not a curated record. NCBI's taxonomy places the organism in Eukaryota, Viridiplantae, Streptophyta, Magnoliopsida, Poales, Poaceae. The transcript is spliced from 5 exons.
UUUUCCGCCGAUUCCGACUUUCUCCUUUUUCUUUUCUCGCUUAUUUCCUUCCGCGAGGGGCUUCGUCUGCCGAUCCAUCGCUGUUCCCGGCUGCUGCUCCUGGUUUCGACUCCUGCCUUGCCGUGGGUUGCUGCUCCCACUCCACUGGCUGCUCCCAUUGUUUCUGUUCUUCCUCCCGCUGGUCUCCAACGUGGGUUCGUUACCCUUUUUGCCUCUUGCCUCUUGGUGUGUGGGUUUGUUUCUUCGUGUGGGCGGCGGUUAAUUUGGUUGCUGCUGUGCUCGCCGGCUUUUGGGGCCGGGGUACUUGUUUGGUUGGUGGCGGCUCGCGGCCUUCGUUGUCGCCACCGCCAUCCAGAGCUCCGCCGCCUCCUCAGCGUACGCCGCCGCAUCCCAUCCCUCAUCUAUCUCUGAACCUGGGACGAGUGCAAUGAACCGCCGCCACGGAUCUGCAGCCUCACCCAUGGAUUUAUGGCCUCCUCGCGCCUGCGUCGAGCUAGCUGGUGAGAUCCACGCGGUGCUUCCUCUCCCCAAGCUCCUGCUCGCUGGACCGGCAACGGCAAGCUGACGGAUUCCAACCAUGCUAUCAGCCUGUAAGAAGCUCUACUUCCUGUGACAGCAAAAUCCUAAAUGUUCCAUAAAGAGUCUUAAACUGACCAGGGGGCAAUGGAAGCCAUGACACACUCUAUGAAGUGAUAGAUGGUGUGACAUCUCCCCUUGAGACUGAAUUUUUCCUCAGAAGACUCAUGCUAUGACUAUUUAUAUUGUCACCUCCAUGGCACGUCCACGACAAGCUUUUUAUUCCAAACUGAAUUGUUAGUGGUACUGGACGAAUACUUUUGUCAUUUUAUUCAUGUUAAGGAGAAUUUUCUCCUCCAUGUUGAUUGGAGCUUAGCAUGGGGUUUUACUGCCCUCUGUGUUCUGUAAAGGCGCGAUUGUUUGUGGGAACUUGCAACGCUUCAUAGUGGUAAACGGCAAGUUGUGUAUAUGCUUUUAGAGAGUUGUAAUUUGGAUGUGGCGAUUUGAUUUCUGUGUCUGGCGAUUGUAUAUGUACUUAAUGUAUGUCGUGUAUUUGGACAGUCAUUAUUUGCUUGCUGAUGGUAAACGGAAAAAUCUAUUAGUUUUAAUUCGUUGUAUUUGGCUCACCUUUGCAACUUUUCAAGUAAUAAUGAUGUUCGAUGCAUUAAACAUGAGGCAGGCAAUAGCUUAUACUCCCUGCGUCCCAUAUUAAGUGCCGAAAUAUUACAUGUAUCUAGACGCUUUUUACAUAUAGAUACGUCCAUAUUUGGGCAAAUUUGAGUCACUUAAUAUGGGAUGGAGGGAGUAUUUACUAUACUCGAAUAAACCAGAACGGUUGAUCCUACAUAGAUCGUUGAUCAACUAUUUAUGUAUGUCGAUUGAGUCUGUUUUUGACAAAAACAACUCCUUUCUCCCAUUCUUUAAUUACUUGGUUACCUUUUUUGUUUGUGUUGGUUCUUGUUUCUUCAACAGUUGCCUGCUUUGAAUUUUAGAGAUAGCAUAGCUGCAUUCGUCCCUUUUCAUGGUUCUUUUAGUUUUACUAACAUCUAUAUCAGAUCAAGUUGUAAUAGUUUUUGUUCACACCUUCUCUGUCGAACUUUUUUGGACAUUUGUGCAGGUAUGCAAAACUUAGCAUUUUUAGUAAUCUCAUUUAUGUGCUCAUCUUGUGUUUCUUCCCAUCUUUGGCCAUCUUUAACAGGUAUUCGGAUACUGCCGGCUUCUUUUUGAGACUUGGUUCAGCUGUUGAUAAGUGAAAUGUCAUCAACAGCCGACGCAAGGUAAUAUUUGCACUAAGAUGUGCCGACUUAGUUAUUCAGGGAUGUUAUACCUACACAAGAUAGAAAGAUUAUGCAAUGAAACUGAAAAAUUUCUUAGUUAAUAAUAGCAUGCUAUUUGAUGUUUGAAGUUGACCCAUGAUUAAAUAAUAUCCAUUUGCAAGUGGAAAAGAAAUACGUCUUGCUUGUUCCGAUAAGCAGUGUCACCAUUUGAACACAAACAUUUUUUAUUCGAAAGUUGUUUCCUGCAUGCAGGAUUAUCUGAUUGCAAGCAUUAUCUACCUUUAUGCACAUGAUUUUUGAACAAGCUAAGACAUGCUACAAUGAUUGCUUGGGCUCCAGGGUAAGUUUUGAAUUUGUGGUAGCAUGGUAGUUACAUCGAUGAGGGAAAUGCAUAUAUGUCUUUUGAUUUCCUUAGUUAAAGCCCAUCGGUUUCUGAACUAUACCUGCAAUGUUACAUUGCCUAUGUGAUUAUAUCUGAAGAUACCCUAUGACGAUGCAUGAGCUUAGGUAGAAUGGCAAACUAGGAGCUCAUGCAUCGUAGGCUAAACAUGUCACUGAUAAUGUUUCUUCCAAUUAAGAAAUAAGCUUCAGGUUCUAUUAACUCUAUUCCAUUGGAUACAUUGCAUCAGUUAUCGAACUACUAUUGGACUGCUAAUUGUUUGAUGUGCACGCAUGUACUUUAGUUUGUAUUCCAUCUGCUACAGUUCUUCCUGGUUGCUUGUUUUAGUGCUUGUCUUCACCUAGAUUUAGGUAAGAAUCGUUGCAGGUAAUUAAACUCGCAAAGAAACUACCAACAUUUGAUCUGCAGGCCAUCAAGAAUGAUCUAGCAGCUGAUGACGACAUGGACUCCUAGGAACUAUCGAGGGUUCGAAUAGUUUUAGUUGCAGGUUGCCUUUGCAAGUAGGGACAAUGUUUUUUGUAUAGUUUUACUCAGCGACUGUUUGGCAGUCGUUGGUCUGUGCUGCUGCCGUCCAAGUGCAGGGGGGGACGGUCUUGUGUUUCCUGCGUGGACGUACCAGACUCAGUUUUCUAUGCAGGACAGUGACACCUAUAUUAUGAACAAGUUGUCUUUGUUUUUGGCGCUGUGAGUGUGGUCAGACAAUCUUCUGGAGGUGAUUUUUUUUCUCUCAUCUUCUUUAAUUGUGCUUGCUGUAGGGUGUUUUCUUUGUCAAGUGGUUUGUGUAUUAGAUUACUUUCUGGAAGAGAGAAGCCCCUUCUCAUUGUGUACAGAAUUUGAGUGUCAUUGGAGUUUGGCUCUGAUUAAACACUUCAAAUGAAUUGCCACAUUUGCUGUAUAGACAAACUUUUCAAACAUUGAUCUCAUGGUUUUUCUUGAUGGGCACGUGGGCGCAAGUGAUUGAUGAGAAUGUAUAAGAGAUGAAUUUUGAAACCAUGGAUCUUGCAUAUUCUCAUGUUCUUUGUUAGGUGGUCAGUACACUUAUAUGUACGCUUAACCAGAAUAAUUUGUUGCCUUAAGCUGAUGCAUUCA